This 793-nucleotide ribosomal RNA is filed under the name uncultured Bacteroidota bacterium. RNAcentral describes it as "bacterial SSU rRNA". It matches the Rfam family "Bacterial small subunit ribosomal RNA", at positions 60 to 859 of the family's 1533-position model. The record is from RNAcentral. Lineage: Bacteria; Pseudomonadati; Bacteroidota.
AGUCGAGGGGUAUAGUUCUUCGGGACUAGAGACCGGCGCACGGGUGCGUAACGCGUAUGCAAUCUGCCUUUCACAGAGGGAUAGCCCAGAGAAAUCUGGAUUAAUACCUCAUAGUAUUAUGGAAGGGCAUCCUUUUAUAAUUAAAGUCACAACGGUGAAAGAUGAGCAUGCGUCCCAUUAGCUAGUUGGUAAGGUAACGGCUUACCAAGGCAACGAUGGGUAGGGGUCCUGAGAGGGAGAUCCCCCACACUGGUACUGAGACACGGACCAGACUCCUACGGGAGGCAGCAGUGAGGAAUAUUGGUCAAUGGGCGCAAGCCUGAACCAGCCAUGCCGCGUGCAGGAUGACGGUCCUAUGGAUUGUAAACUGCUUUUGUACGAGAAGAAACACUGAUUCGUGAAUCAGCUUGACGGUAUCGUAAGAAUAAGGAUCGGCUAACUCCGUGCCAGCAGCCGCGGUAAUACGGAGGAUCCAAGCGUUAUCCGGAAUCAUUGGGUUUAAAGGGUCCGUAGGCGGUUUAGUAAGUCAGUGGUGAAAGCCCAUCGCUCAACGGUGGAACGGUCAUUGAUACUGCUGAACUUGAAUUAUUAGGAAGUAACUAGAAUAUGUAGUGUAGCGGUGAAAUGCUUAGAUAUUACAUGGAAUACCAAUUGCGAAGGCAGGUUACUACUAAUGGAUUGACGCUGAUGGACGAAAGCGUGGGGAGCGAACAGGAUUAGAUACCCUGGUAGUCCACGCCGUAAACGAUGGAUACUAGCUGUUGGAAGCAAUUUCAGUGGCUAAGCGAAAGUG